RNAcentral lists this transfer RNA (73 nucleotides) under Camelus bactrianus (Bactrian camel). It matches the Rfam family "tRNA". From Rfam's summary of the family: Transfer RNA (tRNA) molecules are approximately 80 nucleotides in length. Their secondary structure includes four short double-helical elements and three loops (D, anti-codon, and T loops). RNAcentral also lists the same sequence under 2 other names. Lineage: Eukaryota; Metazoa; Chordata; Mammalia; Artiodactyla; Camelidae. The record is from Rfam by way of RNAcentral.
GAGGGUACAGCUCAAGUGGUAGAGCGCGUGCUUAGCAUGCAUGAGGUCCUGGGUUCAAUCCCCAGUACCUCCU